GACGAACGCUGGCGGCGUGCCUAAUACAUGCAAGUCGAGCGAAGUUUUUCUGGUGCUUGCACUAGAAAAACUUAGCGGCGAACGGGUGAGUAACACGUAAAGAACCUGCCUCAUAGACUGGGACAACUAUUGGAAACGAUAGCUAAUACCGGAUAACAGUAUUUCUCGCAUGAGAGAUAUUUAAAAGUUGGUUAUGCUAACACUAUGAGAUGGCUUUGCGGUGCAUUAGCUAGUUGGUGGGGUAAAGGCCCACCAAGGCGACGAUGCAUAGCCGACCUGAGAGGGUGAUCGGCCACACUGGGACUGAGACACGGCCCAGACUCCUACGGGAGGCAGCAGUAGGGAAUCUUCCGCAAUGGGCGAAAGCCUGACGGAGCAACGCCGCGUGAGUGAAGAAGGAUUUCGGUUCGUAAAGCUCUGUUGUUAGGGAAGAAUGGAUAUGUAGUAACUAUACAUGUAAGAGACGGUACCUAAGCAGAAAGCCACGGCUAACUACGUG
This 499-nucleotide ribosomal RNA is filed under the name uncultured bacterium. RNAcentral describes it as "partial 16S ribosomal RNA". It matches the Rfam family "Bacterial small subunit ribosomal RNA", at positions 28 to 507 of the family's 1533-position model. The record is from RNAcentral.